Molecule: antisense RNA, 75 nt
Filed under: Mycobacterium sp. 1164966.3
Lineage: Bacteria; Bacillati; Actinomycetota; Actinomycetes; Mycobacteriales; Mycobacteriaceae
Description: ASpks TB sRNA
Rfam family: ASpks TB sRNA
Source: Rfam by way of RNAcentral
CUUGAUGGAUCCCAACCACAACGGCCGAUCCGCCGGCCGGUCCUGGCCAUAGGUCGCCAGCAGGGCCUGCGCUUC